This 252-nucleotide ribosomal RNA is filed under the name uncultured bacterium. RNAcentral's name for it is "partial 16S ribosomal RNA". It matches the Rfam family "Bacterial small subunit ribosomal RNA", at positions 525 to 776 of the family's 1533-position model. The record is from RNAcentral.
ACAGAGGUCUCAAGCGUUGUUCGGAUUCAUUGGGCGUAAAGGGCGCGUAGGCGGCGGGGUAAGUCGGGUGUGAAAUCUCAGAGCUCAACUCUGAAACUGCACUCGAUACUGCUCUGCUUGAGGACUGGAGAGGAGACUGGAAUUCACGGUGUAGCAGUGAAAUGCGUAGAUAUCGUGAGGAAGACCAGUGGCGAAGGCGGGUCUCUGGACAGUUCCUGACGCUGAGGCGCGAAGGCCAGGGGAGCAAACGGG